This is a long non-coding RNA of Nicotiana attenuata, 727 nucleotides long. RefSeq lists it as uncharacterized. The transcript has 2 exons. Lineage: Eukaryota; Viridiplantae; Streptophyta; Magnoliopsida; Solanales; Solanaceae. The record is from RefSeq and is a predicted model, not a curated record.
CAUCUCACUCAUCUCUCUCUCACCCUCGCCUCAGAGACUACCCCAUGAACCCUAAUAGCUGCCCCCUUUUCCCACCACCACCCACUAGCGGCGCCACCUCCGUUCACCACCAAAAUAACACCAUAAAACCACCACGACCCCAUCUUCCCAAAUCCUAAACUAGCUCCCCUAGAAACCUCCUCAAUCUCGUCGAAUCUUGAAUCUAAAAUCAGAGGUCGAACCCCAAAAAACCAAAACUGUUCUGCCCUUCGAUUCCGUGGCUUGAAUGGCUAUUUGCUCCCGUCUUGUUGAAGAAUGAGGGUUGAUUAAAUGCAAAAGUGGUAUUGUUCACUUGUUUUUAUAAAGAACAACUGGGUAACAUCACUUUUCGUCUAAAUCAGUGUUUCAAAUUCGUUUCGAGUUGAGUCGGUAUGCUUCAGCACUUGAGUAGCAUAUGAGAUGUGAAGGGAAGCCAUGUAGUUGAUUUAGAUAGUGAAUAAAAUGGCCUCUGUUUUUAAAAGAUUUGAUCAUGUGUUUUCUUGUCUAAAAUAACUUGAUUAUUUGGACAUUAUUGUAUUCAGUCAUGACUUAUGCCGUAUAUUUUAGGAAGAUGCUUGAACUUUGGUUUGUUAUUUUAAUUCUGGAUUAGAUGAACUCCUUCUCAAAUACUUGUGUGUUGGGAUUGUUAUGAUAGGAAUUCAAUGAGUGUUGUUGUUAGUCGAGCUAAUAGUUUGAAUCUUGCAUCUUU